Molecule: non-coding RNA, 328 nt
Organism: Drosophila melanogaster (fruit fly)
Lineage: Eukaryota; Metazoa; Arthropoda; Insecta; Diptera; Drosophilidae
Source: Ensembl
GUAGGAUUUCAAUUAAAAUCGGUGGAUGGAGGUAGGGGAAGUAGAUCAGCAUCCUCUGGACCCCUCUUGACACAAUCGCAAUCAGAGUCCCAAACACGGAAACUAAAAAAUAGAAAACAGAGAUGAUCGCCACAUUGUGAGAACACAAUCGGCGAACGUCAGUCACCAACCGAUCUCCAUUCAUUACGAGGCAUUCAUCUUUCACCUUUUUUUUUAUUGUAUUACUUCACCCUUUCACCGAACCACGUUGACAAAACUGUUGCCUUAGUUGCCUAAUGCCGCAUUAUCCUUCGGCUGGGAUUGUGUCCUGUGAAGUGACAUUCCGUCU